RNAcentral lists this ribosomal RNA (587 nucleotides) under uncultured bacterium. Its description in RNAcentral is "bacterial SSU rRNA". It matches the Rfam family "Bacterial small subunit ribosomal RNA", at positions 338 to 916 of the family's 1533-position model. The record is from RNAcentral.
CCUACGGGAGGCAGCAGUGGGGAAUUUUGGACAAUGGGCGCAAGCCUGAUCCAGCCAUGCCGCGUGAGUGAAGAAGGCCUUCGGGUUGUAAAGCUCUUUCAGCCGGAAAGAAAACGCRCAGGUUAAUAACCYGUGCGGAUGACGGUACCGGAAGAAGAAGCACCGGCUAACUACGUGCCAGCAGCCGCGGUAAUACGUAGGGUGCGAGCGUUAAUCGGAAUUACUGGGCGUAAAGCGUGCGCAGGCGGUUUUGUAAGACAGAUGUGAAAUCCCCGGGCUUAACCUGGGAACUGCAUUUGUAACUGCAAGGCUAGAGUACGGCAGAGGGGGGUAGAAUUCCACGUGUAGCAGUGAAAUGCGUAGAUAUGUGGAGGAAUACCGAUGGCGAAGGCAGCCCCCUGGGUCGAUACUGACGCUCAUGCACGAAAGCGUGGGGAGCAAACAGGAUUAGAUACCCUGGUAGUCCACGCCCUAAACGAUGUCAACUAGGUGUUGGGGGAGGAGACUUCCUUAGUACCGCAGCUAACGCGUGAAGUUGACCGCCUGGGGAGUACGGUCGCAAGAUUAAAACUCAAAGGAAUUGACGG